This 832-nucleotide ribosomal RNA is filed under the name uncultured bacterium. RNAcentral's name for it is "bacterial SSU rRNA". It matches the Rfam family "Bacterial small subunit ribosomal RNA", at positions 32 to 865 of the family's 1533-position model. The record is from RNAcentral.
AACGUUGGCGGUGUGCCUAAUACAUGCAAGUCGAACGGAGUGUACGAGAUAGCAAUAUUUUGUAUUACUUAGUGGCGAACGGGUGAGUAACGCGUUGGUGAUCUGCCCCGAAGUGGGGAAUAACAAUUCGAAAGAAUUGCUAAUACCUCAUGUUAUCUUAGAGAUUAGAUGCUCUUUGAUCAAAGGAUUUAUUCGCUUCGGGAGGAGCCUGCGUCCCAUCAGCUAGUUGGUAAGGUAAUGGCUUACCAAGGCUAUGACGGGUAGGGGACCUGAGAGGGUGGCCCCCCCACAAUGGAACUGAAACACGGUCCAUACACCUACGGGUGGCAGCAGUAGGGAAUAUUAGUAAUGGGCGAAAGCCUGAACUAGCAACACCGCGUGUGCGAUGAAGGCCUUCGGGUUGUUAAAGCACUUUUUCGAGAAGGAAGAGGAAGGACGGUACUCUCGGGAAUAAGUCUUCGGCUAACUACGUGCCAGCAGCCGCGGUAAAACGUAGGAGGCAAACGUUAUCCGGAUUUACUGGGCGUAAAGCGCGUGUAGGUGGUUCGGUAAGUAGGGCGUGAAAGCUCCUGGCUCAACUAGGAGAGGUCGUUCUAAACUGCCAGACUUGAGGAUGGUAGAGGGAGGUGGAAUUCCGGGUGUAGUAGUGAAAUGCGCAGAUAUUCGGAGGAACACCAGUGGCGAAAGCGGCCUCCUGGACCACACCUGACACUCAGACGCGAAAGCUAGGGUAGCAAACGGGAUUAGAGACCCCGGUAGUCCUAGCCGUAAACGAUGUAGACUUGACGUUGGUGGUUUAAUAUCCAUCAGUGUCGUAGCUAACGCGAUAAGU